Non-coding RNA from Vicugna pacos (alpaca), 217 nucleotides. NCBI's taxonomy places the organism in Eukaryota, Metazoa, Chordata, Mammalia, Artiodactyla, Camelidae. The record is from RefSeq and is a predicted model, not a curated record.
GUGAUUGUGACUUCCUCAGACCUUGCCCAUUUCUUCUAGGUUGUCCAUUUUAUUGGUGUAUAGUUACUUGUAGUAGCCUCCUAUGAUCCUUUGUAUUCCUGUUGUGUCAGCUGUAAUGUUUCCUUUUUUAUUUCUGAUUUUAUUGAUUUGAGCACUCUCCCUUUUUUUCUUGAUGAGUCUGGCUAAAGGUUUAUCAAUUUUGUUUAUCUUUUCAAAG